Molecule: ribosomal RNA, 460 nt
Filed under: uncultured bacterium
Lineage: Bacteria
Description: partial 16S ribosomal RNA
Rfam family: Bacterial small subunit ribosomal RNA
Source: RNAcentral
CCUACGGGAGGCAGCAGUGAGGAAUAUUGGUCAAUGGACGAGAGUCUGAACCAGCCAAGUAGCGUGAAGGAUGACUGCCCUAUGGGUUGUAAACUUCUUUUAUAUGGGAAUAAAACGUUCCACGUGUGGGAUUUUGUAUGUACCAUAUGAAUAAGGAUCGGCUAACUCCGUGCCAGCAGCCGCGGUAAUACGGAGGAUCCGAGCGUUAUCCGGAUUUAUUGGGUUUAAAGGGAGCGUAGGUGGAUUGUUAAGUCAGUUGUGAAAGUUUGCGGCUCAACCGUAAAAUUGCAGGUGAAACUGGCAGUCUUGAGUACAGUAGAGGUGGGCGGAAUUCGUGGUGUAGCGGUGAAAUGCUUAGAUAUCACGAAGAACUCCGAUUGCGAAGGCAGUUCACUGGACUGCAACUGACACUGAGGCUCGAAAGUGUGGGUAUCAAACAGGAUUAGAUACCCUAGUAGUC